Molecule: long non-coding RNA, 4242 nt
Filed under: Capra hircus (goat)
Lineage: Eukaryota; Metazoa; Chordata; Mammalia; Artiodactyla; Bovidae
Description: lncRNA (ENSCHIG00010001351.1)
Source: RNAcentral
AUGGAAAACACGUGUUCUGCCAAAGUCCUGCCUACCCCCAGCAUGGGAGCUGACAGGAUCCCAUUUGCUUCUAGCAUAGGGAGAACUGACCCCUAUAAAUUACAUUCUUCCGUUAAUGGCCUGGCCCAGAGAAAUCUGGCAUCACCCCAAAUCUUUCUCUUUCCGGACUCCUGCAAGCGAGGUGAGAGGAAGCGGGAAGGAACGAGAGCAAUCAGGAACAACCUCUCAGACUCUGACUCGAGCCCCUGGGUGGAUGUGACGCUCCUUAGUAUCAUCCCUAGUAAGAUGUGGAAAACUGCCUGGGAAAAAUCUGGAGAGAGGAACAUCAGGGGUUCAGUGCUGACCUUGUUAAGUUUGAGAGGCCUGUUAGACUUACUUAAAUGAGAUGUUAAGAUGGCAGUUUGGUCCAUGAGUUAGAUUCCAGGGAGUGGCCAAGACUGAGAUAUACAUUCGGCAGAGAUGCACAGUUCCAAGUCUGUGGACGGAAGAUAACCUAAAGAGAGAAGCAAAAAGACAUCUCAGUCUCAGGACUAGGUAGCUGCAAGGUUUAGAACCACUGAGUAUGAAAUCAUUACCGGGUUCUGAGUCUGGCAAAUAUUACUAACAGACUGUCUAGUUAUGAUGUCUAGUUUAUGAGAUUAACUACUGGAGUGUCAGUUUUACAUAUCCCAUUGCUGUUUCACAACCUUGAAGUAUAGAGUGAGAUGGAUAUGAUGCUGAGGUCAUGGAUGAUUUUUAGUUUCUUCCUUGUCCUUUCUAUAUUGUUCAAAUUCUCUACAAUGAAUGUGCAACAAUUCUACCAUGAGAAAAACACAAUAAAUAUUUUAAAGAGUGAUAGCCUAUAUGUGGUGUACAGUGCACUGCAGUCAGUGAUCACAAAUUCAUGCAAACUCCACAUUAUCAGGUGAACACGAGUGUGAGGGUGGGCAUUCCUCCUGUAAUUUUAAAUGAAUUAUGUAUAUAAACAUUCAUGAUUUUAAUGAUCUAGAAUAACGAUGCCUUGGUAAAAUUGAUAAGACCAAGAUGUCAGCAUGAUACAAAGGUCACAGCUACAAGUCACCCUACACGAGUCUGUUAGCUUGAGGAGUUCACAGGCGUAUUCCUUACAUUUCUCUGUAUCUUUUCCAACUCUCCAAAUGCAGAGGGCUAGCAAAAAUGUAAUCAGGGAAAUAAUUCUUGGCCACAACUCACAUUCCAAAGGAAAAAAUAACAACAACAAAAUACCCAAGCAAAACCAUCAAACCACAUCCUGGUAAAAACUUUUCAUGUGCCGUGAAGGCAUCAUCUGGUCCCCAUCAUUACCAGCUGUGACUUGUACAACCGGAAAAGGCCAGACUGUAGCAAGAGGAGAUAAAUGAAAGGCCCGUGACAAGGUUUUGAAGCUGAGUGUGUUCAGCAGCAUUUGUAACUAAGGUGGCAACUAGAGAAUUAAAGAAGGAACAGGAAGGGUCAGGCUAAGAUGGAGUCACUAGAGCCUAUUAAUAAAGAUAGGAGGAGUCUUUUCAGAUCCAAAUAGGAAUGGCAAUUUUCAGAUCUAUCACAAGACUUUUCUAUUNNNNNNNNNNNNNNNNNNNNNNNNNNNNNNNNNNNNNNNNNNNNNNNNNNNNNNNNNNNNNNNNNNNNNNNNNNNNNNNNNNNNNNNNNNNNNNNNNNNCCAAAUAGGAAUGGCAAUUUUCAGAUCUAUCACAAGACUUUUCUAUUUUUCAUUCAGUCAAUGUGAAUUAAUAGCCCACUUGGAGCAGUGUAUAUGUGGGUGCUCAGGGAGAUGGGACAGCAAAACUGAAGAACUUUAUACCAAGUUGGAAAGAAAUGACUCAAUACUCUGAAACUGCUAUCAGCAAACUUAACCCUAACACCAGUUUAUCACUGCUAUAUCCUGGAGCCCAGUCCAUAGAAUCACAGCUCCUAAGGAUGUAAAUGUGAUCAAUAAGUUAAUCAAGAUACGCUUCUUACAGCAGAAACUUACGUGCAGAGUCUCCCAGAGGGGUAUAACAGAGCUGACAUUUCCCUCAGUUCUUUAUUUAUGACAACUCUUACCCAGAGCUUCCUAGAAGAGUUAUGUUCCAAAAACACACCUGAUAAAUCCUUCUGAGCAGACAUUAGGGUCACAUAGGAUUGAUCAGGAAGAACUUUGUGGAAGUUGCAGCAGAGUUUCUAAACAGAGAGGUAAAUAAUUUGAUGGAGAAAUAAGAAGAUAAGUUAGACUGAAGAACCAUACAAUGGUUCAAAAAUUAAACAAGCUAUGUCCAUGAAAGAGACAUGGAUUCCAAACUAGGUGUGGCUGAGGCAGCUUUCUCUACGAACUGCACUGUUGCUGUUUAGUCACUAAGUUCAUGUCUGACUCUUUGCAACCCCAUGGACUAGCCCCCAAGGCUCCUCUGUCUAUGGGAUUCCCCAGGCAAGAAUACUAGAGUAGGUUGCCAUUUCCUUCUCUGGGAGAUCUUCCCAACCCAGGGAUCAAACUGUCUCUUCUGUGUUGCACAAAUCCUAACAAAUCAAGUAACUGGAAAAAGUCAACCAGCAUUUUGAAUUAUGGAGAGGUCAAUGAGAAAUGGUGGGUGAAUGCUGAAGAAUCUACUAAUCUUAUAGAUAACAUAUCACAGAAGAGAAUUCUUAAUUUUAAUAAUUUUAAAUUAUUGUUUUGAAUAAUUUAAGAGUUGUCAAAUUUAUAAUGAUCUACAUAUAUAUAGUAUAUAUUUAACUACUUUUUAUCAGUUUGUCCCUUCUAUAAGUUAUACUUGUCCCUUGGAAGGCUGCAUGCUUUAUAAGACAAAUUCACAGUACUAUUUAAUGCAUUUGUUCUUUCUAGAAUUCAGAAUUACCAACCUUAAGGCAGAAAUCCUGCCAGUUAUAAUGCUAGCCUCACAAGACAUCAUCAAAAUGCUGAUUCAUACUUGACUAAAUAAGCCACAUAUUAAUUACUCAUUUCAGUGUCAGAGUAUUCAUUAUAUAUUGCUUUUUCCAAGGGAGGAAAAGAUAAGGAGAUGCUGAUGCUUCCANNNNNNNNNNNNNNNNNNNNNNNNNNAGCAAAAAUAAGUUACUUUCGCCCUUUAAAUGAAUUAUGCAGAACAAAUCUGUACAAGUAAUAGUGAAACUAAAGGCUUCAUCAUUUAGAGCCAAAAGGAUAUUUUCAGUCUCCUCUCCUAAAUGCUUUUGGUGGCUCAAAUCUAUAUAAGCUAUGCUAUAGUUUCUCCAGUCUAUACCUCAUGCGGAACUGUUGUCUAUGCCUCUAGUUCCUCAGUACCUAUCUCCUCUCACUUGUAUAGUAGGUUUUAAUAAAGGCUGAGGCUACAGGGUGAACCUGACAUACUAGAAACUCAUCCUGGACUUGGUCUCUGCUCCCCUGCUGUGUUUCAGGGCUGCCAGAGCAAGUCUUAUGUAAGAAUGCAAAUCACGCUCCCUCUCGUUAAAUAGUGCUGCAUACAGCGGUGCUGUGUGGGCGUCCCUGGUGGCUCAGCUGANNNNNNNNNNNNNNNNNNNNNNNNNNNNNNNNNNNNNNNNNNNNNGUUGGGAAGAUCCCCUGAAGAAGGGAAAGACUACCUACUCCAGCAUUCUGACCUUCAGAAUUCCAUAGAUUGUAUAGCAUGGGGUCACAAAGAGUCGGAUAUGACUGAGCAACUUUCACACAGCAUCCAGCUUGUCAGAAGCACUAAAAUGGUAGACAUUAGGCUGAGGAUGGUUAUAAUUACAAGACUGAAGGGGAAAAUGAGAAUGAAGCUGAUACUGUUUCUUUCUGGAGAACUAGAAAGACAGUACUCACCCAAGUUUCUCACCUUGAUGUCAAGAAUCCCUUAGAACCAGAACUCAAGCUACACUCCCUUGUAGGGUUUAGGCACAAAUGGAUAUAGUGAUAUAAUUUGAUGGCCCAGUGGUUUUCUGGAUGGAGGCUGAAAAGUCUACUUGUAGGAAGCUUAUGCUAAGGGAAAGGGUGAAGAUGAGCUGAUCCUGUUACAAACGCUUAGUUAUCAAAAUGGAGGAGGUACCCUGGGUACAUCCUGGCAAACACAUUUCAGACCUGUCCCUGCUCUAGCCUUCUGGAUACAUGUAUACCUCCAAGAAAGCAAGAUGGAGCUAUAAGUGCUAAUUAACUACUUAUACUAAUUUGUAUAAUACAUCUACUGUCAUCCUACCCUACCAGAACAUUAGGCAAAGGGGUGAAAAAUACAUCACCUUCCUCACCUCCUACCCCUCCACAUUCUUCUGACACCAAACUGGUGGAUUUGGUGUGAUGGAGCCUCACGC